CGGCCUCUGAGGCGCCGAUUCCACACGCCGGCCUUGUGCCCCGGCCCGGCUAGGCCAACCGCGCAGGCGCAGUCCCCGCGCGCCGGCCUGGUCCCCGGGCCGGACUGGGAGACCGCACAGGCGCAGUCCCGGCGUGCCGGCCCCGCCCCCGGGCCCGCAGGCGGGUGGGCUGCCGUGGGGUCUGCGGGCGGUGGCCGGCUCCGCGGCCUGCGCGGCGCCCCUGGCCCCGCAGCUGGUGGCCUCCUGCCCGCGGUGCCCGGCGCCCAGCCUGCCCAGCAGCAGAGCCGCGGAAGCCCGGGGCAGGGAGCCCACCUGCGGGGGGCGCGGGGCCGAGCUGCCCGCGGGGCCCGGGGCUCGCCUUACCCUGGAGCCGCGCGGAGCGUCUCCCUUCGUGCGCGGGGCUGCGAGGGCUGCCGCGGCUUCGUGGCCGUGCGUCUAAGCCCUUAAGUCUUAAGACGAUAAGGCGCUUCCGCGCGCGGCCCACUCACUGCAGCACAGGGAUUAAAACAAGCCCUGCGGGGUCCGGGCGAGACCCCCCGGGCGGCGCCCUCCCCUGGGCCGGCCCCGGGGUGGGUGCGCCCCGCACGUGGGAUGUGCCGUUUCCACACAGGUCGCGCCCGCUGAAUGUACGUUGUUGGAGGCCGCAGCUUGCGUCGUGCGGACGUGAGACAAGCGUGCACUUUACGAGGCUAACCGAUGAGUGGCUGGAGCAAAAUCAAAAUAAGAAUGAUAUUUCAUGACGCGUGGACAUUACAGGAGAUUGAAACGUCGGUGUCCUGACGGAGUCGUCCUGGAGCACAGCCAGUUCGCUGGCUCACGCCCGGCCGGCGGCAGCCUUCGCAACGCACAGGCCAAGUUCAGGAGGCGAAACGGACACGUGACGGCAACAGCCAGGAAUAUUUGCUCUCUAGCCCUUUGCAGAAAAAGUGGUGGACUCCUGCUCUGGAUGAAUGAACUCCAUUCUGCCUCCGCCCUGCUGUGGUCACCUGUCCGCUGACACCCUCGGGCGACUGUCUCACUCAAAGCCAGAGUUCUUACAGUCGCGGUGAGCAGGCCCACACUGCCCUCCCUCCCUGACUUGGCUCCAGCCACACUGUCCUCUGUGCCUCACCUCAGGGCCUUGGCGCUGCCUGUUCCCUCCGACUAGAAUGCUUUUCCUCAACUGGGGCCACCUCGCCCCUCACCUCUUCAUAUCUUCGCCCAAAUGUCACCGUACUAGGGAAGCUCUCUCUGACCGUUCUCUGUGAGGCACGUCUGUCCCUCCCCUGCCUCCCGGCCUCCGGCGGCCCCCCUGAGUACAGUUCACACUCUGAGAGCAUAGGGCCUUUGUCAUUUGCACCAUGUGUGACGCCCAGCAGGAGAAGACCAAGCAGGUCCUGAGUCGUGGCAGAAGAUGUUGACUGAGUCCCCACGACUCCCAGGAGCCAAGCUAGGUGUGGACAUGAAAGGUUCCCCUUUCGGAAUGGCAGUCACUCUUCCCUGGGGGACUGACUUACCAAGUCCACCCUCCCUCAUGCAGGUCAGCAGGUGUGGCUCACUUGGACCCUUCCUAGAAUGAUUGAGUACCUACAGCGGCCGUGUAACUUAAUGCCUGAGCGGGACACGCUGGCCGUGAAGUCGAGUGCUACUGACCGCGAAGCCAGCACCAGCAUAAACUGGAGCUGUCCCAGCGAGUCAGGAUGUGUGGUGGCCGCAGUGAACAGCUGUGUCCAUUCAUGUAAUAAAUCUUUGAUGAGCACUUUC
Molecule: long non-coding RNA, 1743 nt
Organism: Hyaena hyaena (striped hyena)
Lineage: Eukaryota; Metazoa; Chordata; Mammalia; Carnivora; Hyaenidae
Exons: 2
Source: RefSeq, a predicted model, not a curated record